This 254-nucleotide ribosomal RNA is filed under the name uncultured Ilumatobacter sp. RNAcentral describes it as "partial 16S ribosomal RNA". It matches the Rfam family "Bacterial small subunit ribosomal RNA", at positions 524 to 776 of the family's 1533-position model. Lineage: Bacteria; Bacillati; Actinomycetota; Acidimicrobiia; Acidimicrobiales; Ilumatobacteraceae. The record is from RNAcentral.
CACGUAGGGGGCGAGCGUUGUCCGGAUUUAUUGGGCGUAAAGAGCUCGUAGGCGGCUCACUAAGUCGGGUGUGAAAACUCUGGGCUCAACCCAGAGACGCCACCCGAUACUGGUGUGGCUUGAGUCCGGUAGGGGAGCGUGGAAUUCCUGGUGUAGCGGUGAAAUGCGCAGAUAUCAGGAGGAACACCAGUGGCGAAGGCGGCGCUCUGGGCCGGAACUGACGCUGAGGAGCGAAAGCGUGGGUAGCAAACAGG